This 762-nucleotide non-coding RNA is filed under the name Curculionoidea sp. 20 KM-2017. The record is from RNAcentral. Lineage: Eukaryota; Metazoa; Arthropoda; Insecta; Coleoptera.
AAAAGGUAUUUUUGGCCUUAUUUUAUUAUGAAUUUUUAUUUUACAUGCAUAUUUCAGAGGAAAGUAAUGGUUUAAAUAAAAUGUAAUUUUAUUCGCAGUAAGAAGAUUUAUAUAUUAAUGGAAUUUAGAUAUAGUAAAUAAUUUUAGUACAAACAAAGUUUGUGCCAGCAGUUGCGGUUAGACUAACUGUGCAAUAAAAAAUAUUUAGCAAGAGAGGAUUUUAAAUUUAGAGUUUAAUGAUUAUAUUAUUAAGUGAAAUUUUUAAUAUUUAGCAAUUUUUGAUUUUUAAUCUCAGAAGAUUCAUAAGUAAACUAGGAUUAGAUACCCUAUUAUUGGAAAAGUGGAUUAUGUAAUGCUUGAUUAGUAGUAGUUUAUUUUCUUGAAAAUCAAAAAAGUUGGCGGUAUCUUAGUCUAUUCAGAGGAACCUGUUCUGUAAUUGAUAAUCCACGAUUUUAUUGACUUGGUUUAUUAGCUUAUAUAUCGCCGUAGGUUGAAUAUUUUUAUAUGACUUUAAAUAUUCAAGAUUUUUAUUAAAAGAAAUUCAGGUCAAGGUGUAGUUUAUAACUAAGUAGAAAUGGGUUACAGUAUUAAACGUGGAUGAUUUUUUGUAAUAAAAAUUUGAAAGUGGAUUUGAGAGUAAUUGUUAAUAAAUUUUAAUAAUGAUUUAAGCUCUAAGAUAUGUACAUAUCGCCCGUCGCUUUCACUCUAAGGUGAAAUAAGUCGUAACAUAGUAGGUGUACCGGAAGGUGUCUCUAGAAAGAU